Molecule: RNA transcript, 1501 nt
Organism: Piliocolobus tephrosceles (Ugandan red Colobus)
Lineage: Eukaryota; Metazoa; Chordata; Mammalia; Primates; Cercopithecidae
Gene name: 40S ribosomal protein SA pseudogene
Exons: 1
Source: RefSeq, a predicted model, not a curated record
UAUAUUAUAAAUGUAUUUAUUUAAUAACAAAGUAAACAUGAACACAGCAAGAUAUACAAUGCCUGCAUCUAUACUCAGAAUUACUGUGUCAGCCUCGAAUGCAGAUGCCCAGACUUACGGACCAGUCACACCUGGGAGCAGUGCAGGUUGCCAUGGCAAUGGGAAAGGAGAGGAGGCUGUGUCACUUGUGCGCUGGCCUAAAGCACCUCUAAUUUCAAGGGAACAGGGGAGUUUAAUUCUUCCAUAGGCCUGGGACUUGGAAAACCUGAAAGCUUUGGUGUAACUAAGUUCAGGGCUCUUAACUGCCUGCGUGUAUUUGAGCACAUGGCAUUUGACAGGACACGGGGUAUGGCACAGUCCUCUGUUGGUUGAGACAAUCGCAUGCAUUUCACACCUGGCUCUGCCCACCAAUGCCAGUAAAGCUCCCCCAGGCAAAAAUGCUUUGAAAGUUUUCAGUAUCCGUCUUAUUGGCAGAGUGGCCCUCUUGAAGAACCUCUGUAUCUUUUCCGCACUACCUACAGAGGGAUCCAUACGGCGUUGUUCUGGAUUCCCGUCGUAACUUAAAGGGCAACUUUCACAAUGUCCGGAGCCCUUGAUGUCCUGCAAAUGAAGGAGGAGGAUGUCCUUAAGUUCCUUGCAGCAGGAACCCACUUAGGUGGCACCAGUCUUGACUUCCAGAUGGAACAGUAUAUCUAUAAAAGGAAAAGUGAUGGCAUCUACAUCAUAAAUCUGAAGAGGACCUGGGAGACGCUUCUGCUGGUGGUUCGUGCCAUUGUUGCCGUUGAAAACCCUGCUGAUGUCAGUGUUAUAUCCUCCAGGAAUACUGGCCAGAGGGCUGUGCUGAAGUUUGCUGCUGCCACUGGAGCCACUCCACUUGCUGGCCGCUUCACUCCUGGAACCUUCACUAACCAGAUCCAGGCAGCCUUCAGGGAGCCACAGCUUCUUGUGGUUACUGACCCCAGGGCUGACCACCAGCCUCUCACGGAGGCAUCUUAUGUUAACCUACCUACCAUUGCUCUGUGUAACACAGAUUCUCCUCUGCACUAUGUGGACAUUGCCAUCCCAUGCAACAACAGGGGAGCUCACUCCGUGGGUUUGAUGUGGAUGCUGGCUUGGGAAGUUCUGCACACGCGUGGCACCAUUUCCCGUGAACACCCGUGGGAGGUCAUGCCUGAUCUCUACUUCUACAGAGAUCCUGAAGAGAUUGAAAAAGAAGAGCAGGCUGCUGCUGAAAAGGCUGUGACCAAGGAGGAAUUUCAGGGUGAAUGGACUGCUCCAGCUCCUGAGUUCACUGCUCCUCAGCCUGAGGUUGCAGACUGGUCUGAAGGUGUGCAGGUCCCCUCUGUGCCUAUUCAGAAGUUCCCUACUGAAGACUGGAGUGCUCAGCCUGCCACGGAAGACUGGUCUGCAGCUCCCACUGCUCAGGCCACUGAAUGGGUAGGAGCAACCACUGAAUGGUCUUAAGCUGUUCUUGCACGGGCUCUUAAGCAACAUGGAAAAA